UACAGAGGGUGCGAGCGUUAAUCGGAAUUACUGGGCGUAAAGCGUGCGUAGACGGUUAUUUAAGUCGGGUGUGAAAGCCCCGGGCUCAACCUGGGAAUUGCAUUCGAGACUGAAUAGCUAGGGUACGGAAGAGAGAAGUGGAAUUCUCGGAGUAGCGGUAAAAUGCGUAGAUCUCGAGAGGAACACCAAUGGCGAAGGCAGCUUCUUGGUCCAUACCUGACGUUGAAACACGAAAGCGUGGGGAGCAAACAGG
Molecule: ribosomal RNA, 253 nt
Filed under: uncultured bacterium
Lineage: Bacteria
Description: partial 16S ribosomal RNA
Rfam family: Bacterial small subunit ribosomal RNA
Source: RNAcentral